CAGCCAAACCCAAUUCCACCCCAUUGCAACCUCCCAACGCACCAAAAAAUUAAAACAAAAAAACAAGAACAAGAACAAAUAUAUCUUAAAGAAUAAAUAACAAAAAAAUGAAAAAAGUAAAAACAAGAACAAGAACAAUCAAACCAAACCCAGAAAACGCCACCCCCAUAUCGUCUUCCCCAACCCCGAUCCGAACCUCCCCCCAUACCCACCACCUAGAUCCACCAGUGCAGGGCAGUGGGUGGAUGUCCCAAACAAAGUACAUCAAGGCCAAGUGGUUGUCUCCUCACACCCGAGCCACGUCUUCAUCGUCCGAUUCGAUGACCGAAGAAAAGACUCAGCCUUUGAUCGAGACCGCCGAGUUUGAGUUGAUUCAGGGCGGGACGAACUCUGCGGGUGAGACUGAGUUGGACGAGUCGGUAUUUGAGCUGUUGGAGAGUUCGGGUGACUGGGUCGGAUUCACUGAUAGCAAUAGAAACUCUCAAAGAAAAUAGCUUUAAAAUAGUUUGUCAAUUAUCUGCUGUUUCUGUGAAAUCAAGGAAAAGAGCAAAAGGAGGAGGAGAAGAUGGGGAACAUAAUUCGAUGAUGAAGACUGAAGAGAACUCAGAACACACUCGUGCUGUCUGGGGAAAACCCAAUUUUUUUAAAUGCUGAGAUUCUCUCCCAGCGUCAUGUUUCUGUGAUGCCAAAGGAAAAAGGGAAGUGGAAUUUUGAUUAAUCUUUUGGACAUGAAUUGGUUAUCCUUCGUUUGAUUUGAUCUCAUUUGAUUAAUCUUUUAGAAGGGCCAAGUCAUGUCUAUCUCUGUUGUUUGCUGUAAGUUGUAUAAAAUUAGGCAUCUAAUUCUACUUGGAGCAUUCCCUUAAUUGCUUUUUUCUUCAUCUUUAGGCUUUCAGUUUU
Long non-coding RNA from Prunus mume (Japanese apricot), 897 nucleotides. RefSeq lists it as uncharacterized. NCBI's taxonomy places the organism in Eukaryota, Viridiplantae, Streptophyta, Magnoliopsida, Rosales, Rosaceae. The record is from RefSeq and is a predicted model, not a curated record.